This 1969-nucleotide ribosomal RNA is filed under the name Escherichia coli. RNAcentral describes it as "partial 23S ribosomal RNA". It matches the Rfam family "Bacterial large subunit ribosomal RNA", at positions 978 to 2925 of the family's 2925-position model. Lineage: Bacteria; Pseudomonadati; Pseudomonadota; Gammaproteobacteria; Enterobacterales; Enterobacteriaceae. The record is from RNAcentral.
CGGGAGACACACGGCGGGUGCUAACGUCCGUCGUGAAGAGGGAAACAACCCAGACCGCCAGCUAAGGUCCCAAAGUCAUGGUUAAGUGGGAAACGAUGUGGGAAGGCCCAGACAGCCAGGAUGUUGGCUUAGAAGCAGCCAUCAUUUAAAGAAAGCGUAAUAGCUCACUGGUCGAGUCGGCCUGCGCGGAAGAUGUAACGGGGCUAAACCAUGCACCGAAGCUGCGGCAGCGACACUAUGUGUUGUUGGGUAGGGGAGCGUUCUGUAAGCCUGUGAAGGUGUGCUGUGAGGUAUGCUGGAGGUAUCAGAAGUGCGAAUGCUGACAUAAGUAACGAUAAAGCGGGUGAAAAGCCCGCUCGCCGGAAGACCAAGGGUUCCUGUCCAACGUUAAUCGGGGCAGGGUGAGUCGACCCCUAAGGCGAGGCCGAAAGGCGUAGUCGAUGGGAAACAGGUUAAUAUUCCUGUACUUGGUGUUACUGCGAAGGGGGGACGGAGAAGGCUAUGUUGGCCGGGCGACGGUUGUCCCGGUUUAAGCGUGUAGGCUGGUUUUCCAGGCAAAUCCGGAAAAUCAAGGCUGAGGCGUGAUGACGAGGCACUACGGUGCUGAAGCAACAAAUGCCCUGCUUCCAGGAAAAGCCUCUAAGCAUCAGGUAACAUCAAAUCGUACCCCAAACCGACACAGGUGGUCAGGUAGAGAAUACCAAGGCGCUUGAGAGAACUCGGGUGAAGGAACUAGGCAAAAUGGUGCCGUAACUUCGGGAGAAGGCACGCUGAUAUGUAGGUGAAGUCCCUUGCGGAUGGAGCUGAAAUCAGUCGAAGAUACCAGCUGGCUGCAACUGUUUAUUAAAAACACAGCACUGUGCAAACACGAAAGUGGACGUAUACGGUGUGACGCCUGCCCGGUGCCGGAAGGUUAAUUGAUGGGGUUAGCGGUAACGCGAAGCUCUUGAUCGAAGCCCCGGUAAACGGCGGCCGUAACUAUAACGGUCCUAAGGUAGCGAAAUUCCUUGUCGGGUAAGUUCCGACCUGCACGAAUGGCGUAAUGAUGGCCAGGCUGUCUCCACCCGAGACUCAGUGAAAUUGAACUCGCUGUGAAGAUGCAGUGUACCCGCGGCAAGACGGAAAGACCCCGUGAACCUUUACUAUAGCUUGACACUGAACAUUGAGCCUUGAUGUGUAGGAUAGGUGGGAGGCUUUGAAGUGUGGACGCCAGUCUGCAUGGAGCCGACCUUGAAAUACCACCCUUUAAUGUUUGAUGUUCUAACGUUGGCCCCUGAUCGGGGUUGCGGACAGUGUCUGGUGGGUAGUUUGACUGGGGCGGUCUCCUCCUAAAGAGUAACGGAGGAGCACGAAGGUUGGCUAAUCCUGGUCGGACAUCAGGAGGUUAGUGCAAUGGCAUAAGCCAGCUUGACUGCGAGCGUGACGGCGCGAGCAGGUGCGAAAGCAGGUCAUAGUGAUCCGGUGGUUCUGAAUGGAAGGGCCAUCGCUCAACGGAUAAAAGGUACUCCGGGGAUAACAGGCUGAUACCGCCCAAGAGUUCAUAUCGACGGCGGUGUUUGGCACCUCGAUGUCGGCUCAUCACAUCCUGGGGCUGAAGUAGGUCCCAAGGGUAUGGCUGUUCGCCAUUUAAAGUGGUACGCGAGCUGGGUUUAGAACGUCGUGAGACAGUUCGGUCCCUAUCUGCCGUGGGCGCUGGAGAACUGAGGGGGGCUGCUCCUAGUACGAGAGGACCGGAGUGGACGCAUCACUGGUGUUCGGGUUGUCAUGCCAAUGGCACUGCCCGGUAGCUAAAUGCGGAAGAGAUAAGUGCUGAAAGCAUCUAAGCACGAAACUUGCCCCGAGAUGAGUUCUCCCUGACCCUUUAAGGGUCCUGAAGGAACGUUGAAGACGACGACGUUGAUAGGCCGGGUGUGUAAGCGCAGCGAUGCGUUGAGCUAACCGGUACUAAUGAACCGUGAGGCUUAACCUU